This 1396-nucleotide long non-coding RNA is filed under the name Betta splendens (Siamese fighting fish). Its description in RNAcentral is "lncRNA (ENSBSLG00000000650.1)". The record is from RNAcentral. Lineage: Eukaryota; Metazoa; Chordata; Actinopteri; Anabantiformes; Osphronemidae.
AUGAUGAAGCUGUGGAGCCGCGUCUGCUUCCUGGUUCUAGUUAUUUCCAGGACGUCCAGAGGACAGACCGUCACCAUGACGACGGCACACAGCGAUGAAGCUACAGGCACAAACUCAUCCAUGAAAGCUUUCGAUGAAUCUGCAAAUCAAACUGAAGCUCCCGCCACAGAGACUCCUCUACACGUUACAACUGAUCUGAGUCGCACACUAGCAAAACAUGUCACCUCCAACACAACAGAGGAAGUCAGUGGCAGCACAGUGGCACCGAACACAGCCUCACACACUGAGGCGGAGGCUGACACCAAGCCUGAUGACGUCACAACGGUUUCCAUGACGACAGGAAGCCCGUCAGCUAAGCCAGCGGCAGUGUCUUCAUCCUGGGGUUACGUGAUCCUGGUGUUGAUCAUCCUCGUGAUCGUCGUCCUGUGUGUCAUCCUCUACUUACUGCGACGCGUCUCCAGGACGUACUCGUUUGACCUUCAGCGCCCGAGUCCCAGUCACCACAACGAACCCACGGGCACCUUUGAGCCCGUUCACCUGGACGACCUCGAUCGUCCGGUCCCUAAAGACGAAAUUCACGCCGAUGACCUUUCACCUCCUCCAGUAGCCAACAGCACGAGUCCUCCAUCAGAGGAGAAGGCGCCUAAUGGAGAGACCGUGACUCCACCGGAGCAGCCUGAUGGGAGCGGCGUGGAGCCUCCCCCGGUCGGUACCUCCAGCCCCGCGGCAGCAGAGGAGCCCGCGGACCCGGCCUCCGGUGCCUCUGACGGAACCCACGCGUUCUUUGAUGAUGCGGGAAAAGAGCAGCAGAAUGAGAACAACAACAACCCCUGCACCACCGUUGGCUCCAGCGGUCCGUUUGUUGAGAUAAACCUGGACGAGCCGGCGCUGUGUGACCAGCUGCUGACUUCAACGGCAGCUCCGUCCUCCGUCCUCCCGUUCUCACCGUUCUCCUUCCCGUCGUCUUCUUAGCACUAAGACCAGAACAAAAAGAACAUCAGGACAUCAGGACAUCGGAACAGACUGAACAUUAACCCUUUUAUUUGUUUAUCGGUGCUCAGUUUGACUCCUUUUCUUCAAACAGAGGCUGUUAAUGAAAAUUACAAAUGUGUUGAUUUACCAGUGUGACUGCUGACAGAUGGUUUCAUCAUCAGCUGUUGUCUGAUGCUUCUGUUGGGACCAACCUGCCUCUGAUGGGAGUCGGUACUGAGCCUGAAGCCUCUGAUGUAACAACGUCUGUGUGCAGCGUAUAUUUGCUGUGUACAUACUGUAAACUCUGAUUCAGUGAUUCAGUCUCAGACCGUUUUACAGUCGUAGGUUUUUAGUUUUGUAAAAUUGUUUUUAUUAAGAAAUUGAUUUUUGUAGAAAAAGAAAAUAAAAAAGAAAUGAUGACACA